This 492-nucleotide ribosomal RNA is filed under the name uncultured bacterium. RNAcentral's name for it is "partial 16S ribosomal RNA". It matches the Rfam family "Bacterial small subunit ribosomal RNA", at positions 29 to 507 of the family's 1533-position model. The record is from RNAcentral.
AGUGAACGCUGGCGGUAGGCCUAACACAUGCAAGUCGAACGGCAGCACAGUAAGAGCUUGCUCUUACGGGUGGCGAGUGGCGGACGGGUGAGGAAUACAUCGGAAUCUGCUUUUUCGUGGGGGAUAACGUAGGGAAACUUACGCUAAUACCGCAUACGACCUACGGGUGAAAGCAGGGGAUCUUCGGACCUUGCGCGAUUGAAUGAGCCGAUGUCGGAUUAGCUAGUUGGCGGGGUAAAGGCCCACCAAGGCGACGAUCCGUAGCUGGCCUGAGAGGAUGAUCAGCCACACUGGAACUGAGACACGGUCCAGACUCCUACGGGAGGCAGCAGUGGGGAAUAUUGGACAAUGGGCGCAAGCCUGAUCCAGCCAUACCGCGUGGGUGAAGAAGGCCUUCGGGUUGUAAAGCCCUUUUGUUGGGAAAGAAAAGCAGCAGGUUAAUACCCCGCUGUUCUGACGGUACCCAAAGAAUAAGCACCGGCUAACUUCGUG